Felis catus (domestic cat) is the source of this 2719-nucleotide long non-coding RNA. RefSeq lists it as uncharacterized. Lineage: Eukaryota; Metazoa; Chordata; Mammalia; Carnivora; Felidae. The transcript is spliced from 2 exons. The record is from RefSeq and is a predicted model, not a curated record.
UCCCAAGCAGGCUCCAUCCAUCCUGUCAGCACGGAGCCCAGUGAGGGGCUUGAACCCACAAACCAUGAGAUUGUGACCUGAGCCAAAAACCAGAGUCGGACACUUAACCGACUGAGGCACCCUGGCACCCAAUUUUAGAUUUUGAUCCAUAUACCACAGUUACGGGAGACGUUAACGCUAGCGGGGGCUGGGUGGAGGGCAUAUGGGGACUCUCUGCAUCAUGUUUGCAACGCUUCCAUGAAUCGAAAAUUAUUUAAAAAUAAAAAGCUAAAAAAAGAGGCAAAAGAGGCAAAAAGAGGAAACAGAACACAUGGACUCGGAUCUGGCUCCUCUUGCUUCCUGGCUGCUUGACUUUGGACAUCUGACACAAGUCUCUGAGCCUCAGUUUCCCCAUUUGGAAGACAAGGCGAAUUACAGUGCCUACCUCACGGGCGGCCGGAAGGGUUAAAUGAGAUGACCACCAGAGGCACACCCAGAAAGCGCCUGGCAAGGCGGGAAGCGAUCAAUAGCGUUCAGCUACGAUUAUUGUUAUUGAGGAAGAAGGAAGUCCAACUUCUAAAAGCUGGUUUUCUCAGCCUUCUGGAAGGGAUCCUUGAAUUAUUCAACCUGCAGUACAGAUCUCUGGAGAACAUCGCCUCGCGGCUACUUUAAUCACUAGAAAGGUUCAGAGUCAGUUAUAAUCAAGCCUGAGUCAACGUGGAAAUGCUCAUCUCUGGCUUGCAAACAAGAUCAAAAGGAAGACCGAGGAGGAGAUAAAAUCUGAGAGGAGAAAUGGAUAGUGGUUUCCAGAGGCUCUUAGGUCCUUCUGUUUCCAAAGGGGGGUCGCAGACCAGAAGCCCCAGCCCCUGCAGGGCACUGUCCUGCAUAUUUCCUCUGACCUUCUGUAAGCUCACGGACAAGUCUGUUUCAGCUCUGUGCCGAAUCCGGGGCAAACUGACCAACGAUGGGACUUCUGUCUGAUGGAGGUUUGGGCGGGGAGGGAGGGGGAGCUGUUACCUUUUCAGAACGUGUCACCAGGGGGAGGGGGAGCUGCGGAUGUGGGCAGGGCUGUUUCUAUUGGAUGCUAACGUGGGGUUAGGCACCAUCAGGCAAGGACUGAGGUAGAGAGAGUGUAGACUGGCCGGAGGCCGUCUGCAGGCACUGUCAAGGUGGGAAAGUGUCCUUGGGGAGGCGGGAGUGGGCCCAUUAGCUUUGUGUCAGGGAAAGGGCGAUUCUGUCCUCAUAUGGCAAUCCUGUCUGAGUCCUGGUCUGCAAGUAGAAACCAGGAGGUGUUUUUAGGGUCCAGCAUGGGCCGUCUAUGUCAGGCCGUGUGGCACAAAAGGGUGGGGGCUUCAGAGAACAGGGAGCAGCCUUGCUGUGUUGAAGGUCCAGGCUGUCUCACUGAUGACCUGACGGCGACAGGGCCACCACCUGCAGCAGUGAUGGAGCCCUAAGGCACCGGGGUGGGGGUCCCCUCUCCCCUGACUGCCCGUGACAGUCCUCCCCGAGGAUGGGUCAGCACUGACGGCCAGAAACGGUGCCCCUCCCCCUCCCCCCCAAGGGAAGAAGGAUGCUUAUUGUCUAAGUUAAGGAUCUCAGGAGGCCACAUCUAGGGUUUGUGAGUGUGUUCCUUCUUCUCUUUUCCAUUCCUGCAGGAGACAGGAUGGAGCACUGGUUAGGGCUUCUCCAGAAUGGGAGAAGGUCCAGUUCUCUGCCUGGGUCUCUCUCCCACCUUCCUCAGCUGUGCAGACCUAAUAAGGUUUUGUGCGGGUGUAGCCAGCUCGCCCUGGGGCCGGCUUUGUCUCUCUUACUGUCUCUUACUCUCUCUUUCUGCCUGUCUCCCUGCUGUUUUUCUCUGGCCCUUGGUGGCAGGGAUAGGGUGGGACUGGAGCCCGUCUUGCCUCGGGGCCCUGAGAUCUGAGAUUAGGCUGGGGAAGCGGGUGGCUCAGCCUGGUUUAGGAAAAGGACUUCUCCCGGGCCAGGAACCACCAUGGUUCCUUGGUGGGCUCUUUUCCCUAAGGACCUCUUAGGAGGAGGGUGGUGGCUGGGCCAGGGCAGGAUCCGGAAAUUCUGGGACUGGUCCAGGUGCGAUCCUAGCAGUUCAGUCUCCUAGCUUUCUGGCCACGCAGCCCCAACCCGGUGGCGGUAAAGGGUGCUCGAGGCCCUGGCCUCUAUACUGUUGCCCUCCACGGUGGGUCCUGGCUGCCACGGCAGGACUGUGGCUUGAAAGGUGUAUUUGUGGGUACAUGUGAGUCACCCAAGGGGUGCCUGGGCUGCCUGAGUCAAAUCUCAGCUCUGUCACUGACCAGCGAUAUAAGCUCGCCCUCUUCGUGCCUCAGUUUCUUCAGCUGUAAAAUGGAUAGAAGGUUGUGGUAAGGGUUAACUAAGCUAAUGCAUGCAAAGCACUUGGCGCAGUGCCUGGCUCCUAGAAAACACUCAGCAAACAGCUCUUCAUGCUCAAUUGUGUCUCUGUGUCCUCUUAGAGAUGAGAAGUCCUGCCAUAGCAGAUGGGGCCACAGGAACGGAGCUUGUUGCUGUAAUCGUAAACUCCUUUGUGCCCUACAGGCUUAGGGGGUCUAGGGAAUGCCGGUUAAUUUUUUUUUUUCUUUUGUGGCGUAGUGAAGCCAUGCAAAUGGAUGGGACUCGCCUUCAGCAUUCCCCCUAUUCCAGUGGAAUCAGCAAAAAGCCGAUUACAAUCCUAUUAUGAACAGGCACUGUGCAAAUAAAAAAAUGAACAAUA